Molecule: ribosomal RNA, 253 nt
Filed under: uncultured bacterium
Lineage: Bacteria
Description: partial 16S ribosomal RNA
Rfam family: Archaeal small subunit ribosomal RNA
Source: RNAcentral
UACCUGCAGCCCGAGUGGUGCUCGUUAUUAUUGGGUCUAAAUCGUCCGUAGUCGGCUGAGUAGAUGCCUGGGUAAAUCGAAGCGCUUAACGUUUCGAAUUCCAGGUAGACCGCUCGGCUAGGGAUCGGGAGAGGUGCGAGGUACUCCAGGGGUAGGGGUAAAAUCCUGUAAUCCUUGGGGGACCACCGGUGGCGAAGGCGUCGCACUAGAACGAGUCCGACGAUCAGGGACGAAGCCCUGGGGCGCAAACGGG